AAAUUGGUGAUUUAUAAUAACUUAGCAAAUCGCAAAGUGAAAACAGGCGAUAAAUCAUUCAAGUUUCUGACCUAUCAGCUUUCGACGGUAUGGUAUUGGCUUACCGUGGCAGUGACGGUUAACGGGGGAUUAGGGUUCGAUUCCGGAGAGGGAGCCUGAGAAACGGCUACCACAUCUAAGGAAGGCAGCAGGCGCGCAAAUUACCCAAUUCUAACAGUUUGAGAGAGGUAGUAACAAGAAAUAACAAUACAAGGCAGUUAAAAUGCUUUGUAAUUGGAAUGAUAGAAAUUUAAACCCUUUUUAAAGUAUCAAUUGGAGGGCAAGUCUGGUGCCAGCAGCCGCGGUAAUUCCAGCUCCAAUAGCGUAUAUUAAAAUUGUUGCAGUUAAAAAGCUCGUAGUUGAAGUUCUGCUGAAAGUAACCGGUCUGCUUUUAAUAAAAGUGGUAUCUUGGUAUGUAUUUAGCAAUGAUGUCCUUUGAAGUGUUUUUUACUUUAUUGUAAUAAAGCAUAUUCAGGACUUUUACUUUGAGAAAAUUAGAGUGUUUCUAGCAGGCUGACGCUUU
RNAcentral lists this ribosomal RNA (562 nucleotides) under Hepatozoon canis. Its description in RNAcentral is "bacterial SSU rRNA". It matches the Rfam family "Eukaryotic small subunit ribosomal RNA", at positions 240 to 797 of the family's 1831-position model. Lineage: Eukaryota; Apicomplexa; Hepatozoidae. The record is from RNAcentral.